UACGGACUGUGCAAACGUUAUUCGGAAUCACUGGGCUUAAAGAGUCCGUAGGCGGCAUGUUAGGUGAGGUGUGAAAUCCCCCGGCUCAACCGAGGAAUUGCGCUUCAAACCGGCGUGCUUGAGGAAGAUAGAGGUGGGCGGAACUGAUGGUGGAGCGGUGAAAUGCGUUGAUAUCAUCAGGAACACCGGAGGCGAAGGCGGCAUCCUGGACCAUUACUGACGCUGAGGCGCGAAAGCUAGGGGAGCAAACGGG
Molecule: ribosomal RNA, 253 nt
Filed under: uncultured bacterium
Lineage: Bacteria
Description: partial 16S ribosomal RNA
Rfam family: Bacterial small subunit ribosomal RNA
Source: RNAcentral